This 379-nucleotide unclassified non-coding RNA is filed under the name soil metagenome. Its description in RNAcentral is "partial contains 5.8S ribosomal RNA, internal transcribed spacer 2, and large subunit ribosomal RNA". The stretch from base 1 to 120 matches the Rfam family "5.8S ribosomal RNA", at positions 35 to 154 of the family's 154-position model. The record is from RNAcentral.
GAUGAAGAACGUAGCGAAAUGCGAUAAGUAAUGUGAAUUGCAGAAUUCAGUGAAUCAUCGAAUCUUUGAACGCACAUUGCGCCCGCCAGUAUUCUGGCGGGCAUGCCUGUUCGAGCGUCAUUUCAACCCUCAAGCCGCAGCGGCCUGGUGUUGGGGACCGGCGACCUCGCCCGAGCCCGCCCUCCGGGGCGCGUGCCCGGUGCGUCCGCCGCCCCCGAAAUGAAUUGGCGGCCUCGUCGCGGCCUCCUCUGCGUAGUAGCACAACCUCGCAGGCGGGAGCGCGACGCGGCCACUGCCGUAAAACGCCCAACUUUUUUAGAGUUGACCUCGGAUCAGGUAGGAAUACCCGCUGAACUUAAGCAUAUCAAUAAGCGGAGGA